UACGGAGGAUCCGAGCGUUAUCCGGAUUUAUUGGGCGUAAAGGGAACGCAGGCGGUCUUUUAAGUCUGAUGUGAAAGCCUUCGGCUUAACCGGAGUAGUGCAUUGGAAACUGGGAGACUUGAGUGCAGAAGAGGAGAGUGGAACUCCAUGUGUAGCGGUGAAAUGCGUAGAUAUAUGGAAGAACACCAGUGGCGAAAGCGGCUCUCUGGUCUGUAACUGACGCUGAGGUUCGAAAGCGUGGGUAGCAAACAGG
This 253-nucleotide ribosomal RNA is filed under the name uncultured bacterium. RNAcentral's name for it is "partial 16S ribosomal RNA". It matches the Rfam family "Bacterial small subunit ribosomal RNA", at positions 524 to 776 of the family's 1533-position model. The record is from RNAcentral.